UGGGGAAUUUUGGACAAUGGGGGAAACCCUGAUCCAGCCAUCCCGCGUGUGCGAUGAAGGCCUUCGGGUUGUAAAGCACUUUUGGCAGGAAAGAAACGUCGCGGGUUAAUACCCCGCGGAACUGACGGUACCUGCAGAAUAAGCACCGGCUAACUACGUGCCAGCAGCCGCGGUAAUACGUAGGGUGCAAGCGUUAAUCGGAAUUACUGGGCGUAAAGCGUGCGCAGGCGGUUCGGAAAGAAAGAUGUGAAAUCCCAGAGCUUAACUUUGGAACUGCAUUUUUAACUACCGGGCUAGAGUGUGUCAGAGGGAGGUGGAAUUCCGCGUGUAGCAGUGAAAUGCGUAGAUAUGCGGAGGAACACCGAUGGCGAAGGCAGCCUCCUGGGAUAACACUGACGCUCAUGCACGAAAGCGUGGGGAGCAAACAGGAUUAGAUACCCUGGUAGUCCACGCCCUAAACGAUGUCAACUAGCUGUUGGGGUCUUCGGACCUUGGUAGCGCAGCUAACGCGUGAAGUUGACCGCCUGGGGAGUACGGUCGCAAGAUUAAAACUUAAAGGAAUUGACGGGGGUGC
RNAcentral lists this ribosomal RNA (574 nucleotides) under uncultured bacterium. RNAcentral's name for it is "partial 16S ribosomal RNA". It matches the Rfam family "Bacterial small subunit ribosomal RNA", at positions 355 to 922 of the family's 1533-position model. The record is from RNAcentral.